AGACCUGGUGUCUGAAACUUGCCACCGUAUGGUUUUACUUCAGAAAAAUACAAUGCAAUAUUCUUAAAAUAAUAAAUCUUGUUUUUCAGAUGGUAUAAAUUAGCACAGAAGACCAAUAUCUCCCUUGCAAAGGAAGUUGAUUAUCUUCAAUAGCCUCUCAAGUAAGGACCACUUUCAUUACAGGAGAUCUACAUUGUAAUCAUCUGAUGAAACAGAGGUGGGAGGAUUGUCAUGAGCUCUGUUUCUGAAAUCAGAGAGAAGCAACUACAGAUCUAUGGAGAAAAAAAAGCUAUCAAAGUGUGUUGUGAUUGCAGAGGCAUGAACCAGAAGGGCAAAGGAUCCAGCAGUAAAAAGAACAACCUGUCAUCCUUUCAGUAUUCUCUGUCCUAA
Molecule: long non-coding RNA, 390 nt
Filed under: Calidris pygmaea (Spoon-billed sandpiper)
Lineage: Eukaryota; Metazoa; Chordata; Aves; Charadriiformes; Scolopacidae
Description: lncRNA (ENSCPGG00000019032.1)
Source: RNAcentral